UACGUAGGAGGCAAGCGUUGUCCGGAAUUACUGGGCGUAAAGCGCGUGUAGGUGGUGGGACAAGUCUGCUGUGAAAGCGCCUGGCUUAACCGGGCGAGGUCGGCGGAAACUGUCCGACUAGAGGACGGUAGAGGGGGGUGGAAUUCCCGGUGUAGUGGUGAAAUGCGUAGAGAUCGGGAGGAACACCUGUGGCGAAGGCGGCCCCCUGGGCCGGCCCUGACACUGAGACGCGAAGGCGUGGGGAGCGAACGGG
RNAcentral lists this ribosomal RNA (253 nucleotides) under uncultured bacterium. RNAcentral describes it as "partial 16S ribosomal RNA". It matches the Rfam family "Bacterial small subunit ribosomal RNA", at positions 524 to 776 of the family's 1533-position model. The record is from RNAcentral.